GGAAUUUUGGGCAAUGGGCGAAAGCCUGACCCAGCAACGCCGCGUGAAGGAUGAAGUUUUUCGGAAUGUAAACUUCGUAAGAAUGGGAAGAAUAAAUGACGGUACCAUUUGUAAGGUCCGGCUAACUCCGUGCCAGCAGCCGCGGUAAUACGUAGGGACCAAGCGUUGGUCGGAUUUGCUGGGCGUAAAGGGCGCGUAGGCGGCGCGUCAAGUCAGCUGUGAAAUCUUAAGGCUUAACCUUAAGCGGUCAGCUGAUACUGUCGUGCUAGAGUGCAGAAAGGGCAAUCGGAAUUCUUGGUGUAGCGGUGAAAUGCGUAGAUAUCAAGAGGAACACCUGAGGCGAAGGCGGGUUGCUGGGCUGACACUGACGCUGAGGCUCGAAAGCCAGGGGAGCAAA
RNAcentral lists this ribosomal RNA (397 nucleotides) under uncultured bacterium. RNAcentral describes it as "bacterial SSU rRNA". It matches the Rfam family "Bacterial small subunit ribosomal RNA", at positions 358 to 772 of the family's 1533-position model. The record is from RNAcentral.